UACGUAGGGGGCAAGCGUUGUCCGGAAUCAUUGGGCGUAAAGCGCGUGUAGGCGGCCCGGUAAGUCCGCUGUGAAAGUCGGGGGCUCAACCCUCGAAUGCCGGUGGAUACUGCCGGGCUAGAGUGCGGAAGAGGCGAGUGGAAUUCCUGGUGUAGCGGUGAAAUGCGCAGAUAUCAGGAGGAACACCAAUUGCGAAGGCAGCUCGCUGGGACGUGACUGACGCUGAGACGCGAAAGCGUGGGGAGCAAACAGG
RNAcentral lists this ribosomal RNA (253 nucleotides) under uncultured bacterium. RNAcentral's name for it is "partial 16S ribosomal RNA". It matches the Rfam family "Bacterial small subunit ribosomal RNA", at positions 524 to 776 of the family's 1533-position model. The record is from RNAcentral.